RNAcentral lists this ribosomal RNA (253 nucleotides) under uncultured bacterium. RNAcentral's name for it is "partial 16S ribosomal RNA". It matches the Rfam family "Bacterial small subunit ribosomal RNA", at positions 524 to 776 of the family's 1533-position model. The record is from RNAcentral.
UACGUAGGGUGCAAGCGUUGUCCGGAAUUAUUGGGCGUAAAGAGCUCGUAGGCGGUCUGUCGCGUCGGCUGUGAAAACUUGGGGCUCAACCCCAAGCCUGCAGUCGAUACGGGCAGACUAGAGUGUGGUAGGGGAGACUGGAAUUCCUGGUGUAGCGGUGAAAUGCGCAGAUAUCAGGAGGAACACCGAUGGCGAAGGCAGGUCUCUGGGCCACUACUGACGCUGAGAAGCGAAAGCAUGGGGAGCGAACAGG